GAUUAAGCUACAAAGAGCGUAUGGUGGAUGCCUUGGCAUCAGGCGCCGAUGAAGGACGCGAUAAGCUGCGAUAAGCUACGGGGAGCUGCAAAUGAGCUUUGAUCCGUAGAUUUCCGAAUGUGGAAACACACUAGAAGUAACUGUCUAGUAUUGCACUCGUUUACGAAGUGCAAGGGGAACCAGGGGAACUGAAACAUCUUAGUACCCUGAGGAAAAGAAAGUAAAAAAACGAUUGCUUAAGUAGUGGCGAGCGAAAGAGCAAGAGCCCAAACCGCAUAUAGCAAUAUGUGCGGGGUUCGGACUGACAUAAAUGUAUUAUUUGAGGGUAGCCGAAGUUUAGUGGAAACGGCGUCAAAGAAGGUAACAACCCUGUAGGCGACAUCCGAAAAUAGCAGUCAGUAUCCAGAGUACCAUCAAGCACGAGAAAUUUGGUGGGAAUGCGGGAGGUCCAUCUCCUAAGGCUAAAUACGACCUGAUGACCGAUAGUGAACCAGUACUGUGAAGGAAAGGUGAAAAGUACCCCGGGAGGGGAGUGAAAUAGAACCUGAAACCAUAUGCUUACAAGCAGAGGGAGGGCUACGCAGCAAUGCAAGCCUCACCUCGUACUUUUUGUAGAACGGACCGGCGAGUUACGAUGUGUUGCGAGGUUAAGUGACUAAGUCACGGAGCCGAAGCGAAAGCGAGUCUUAAAUGGGCGAAUUUUAGUAUCAUGUCGUAGACCCGAAACCGAGUGACCUAACCAUGAGCAGGAUGAAGCAGGGGUAAAACCUUGUGGAGGUCCGAACACACGCCUGUUGAAAUAGUCGGUGAUGACUUGUGGUUAGCGGAGAAAUUCCAAUCGAACUCGGAUAUAGCUGGUUCUCCUCGAAAUAGCUUUAGGGCUAGCGUCAGUAUUUAGUGUACUGGGGGUAGAGCACUGAAUGGGCUAGGGGCCUUCACGGGUUACCGAACCUUAUCAAACUGCGAAUACCAGAUACAUGUGACUGGCAGUCAGACAGUGAGAGAUAAGUUUCAUUGUCAAAAGGGAAACAGCCCAGAUCCACAGCUAAGGUCCUCAAAUUUGUGUUAAGUGGUAAAGGAUGUGUCAUUGCUAAGACAACUAGGAUGUUGGCUUAGAAGCAGCCACUCAUUUAAAGAGUGCGUAAUAGCUCACUAGUCGAGUGAUGAUGCGCCAAAGAUUUCCGGGGCUAAAACACAAUACCGAAGCUUGGGAACAGCAGUAAUGUUGUUGGUAGAGGAGCAAUGCAAUAGCGCAAAGGUAAAGAAGCCGUAUCGAAAGGGGCGGUGGAGCUGUUGCAAGAGAGAAUGCCGGUAUGAGUAGCGAGAGGGAGGCGAGAAUCCUCCCCGUCAAAAGCCUAAGGUUUCCUGGGGAAGGGUCGUCCUCCCAGGGUAAGUCGGGACCUAAGGUGAGGCCGAAAGGCGUAAUCGAUGGACAACACUUUAAUAUUAGUGUACCACCGUACAAUAUGAUGCAGGGACACAGUAGGAUAGUCUAUCCACCCGGAUGGUAAGGGUGGUCAAAUCAUGAGGCUUGUGUGUAGUGAAGUACGCACACAGUAAGGCUAGGUGAUGAUGAGUAAUAAAUAGAGUAGAUGAAUUCACACUGGCGAGAAAAGCUGCUAAAUUUAGUUGUAAGGUGCCCGUACCGCAAACCGACACAGGUAGGCGGCAAGAGAAUUGCAAGACGAACGGGAUAACCCUUGUUAAGGAACUCGGCAAAAUGACCCCGUAACUUCGGAAUAAGGGGGGCCUUUUGAGGGUAGCGACUGAAAUGUUGCGAGAGUAAGAAGGUCGCAGAUAAUAGGCCCAAGCGACUGUUUAUCUAAAACACAGGUCUGUGCGAAAUCGUAAAGAUGACGUAUACGGGCUGACGCCUGCCCAGUGCUGGAAGGUCAAGGGGAAGUGUUAGGGGCAACCCGAAGCACAGAACUUAAGCCCCAGUGAACGGCGGCCGUAACUAUAACGGUCCUAAGGUAGCGAAAUUCCUUGUCAGGUAAGUUCUGACCCGCAUGAAUGGCGUAACGACUUGGGCUCUGUCUCAACAGGGGACCCGGCGAAAUUGUAGUAUACGUGAAGAUGCGUAUUACCCGCGACUGGACGGAAAGACCCCGUAGAGCUUUACUAUAGCUUGAUAUUGAGUUUCGGUAACAAUUGUACAGGAUAGGUGGGAAAAUGUGAAGCAUGGGCGUCAGCCUGUGUGGAUUUGACCUUGGGAUACCACCCUAUUGUUGCUGGAAUUCUAACCCCAUGUCCGUGACAGGGUGGGGGACAUUGUCAGGUGGGUAGUUUGACUGGGGCGGUCGCCUCCAAAAGAGUAACGGAGGCGUUCAAAGGUUCUCUGAGAAUGGUUGGAACCCAUUCGUAGAGCGUAAAGGCAUAAGAGAGCUUGACUGCGAGACAGACAUGUCGAGCAGGUACGAAAGUAGGACUUAGUGAUCUGGCGGUAGAGUAUGGAAUUGCCGUCACUUAACGGAUAAAAGUUACCUCGGGGAUAACAGGCUUAUCUCCCCCAAGAGUUCACAUCGACGGGGAGGUUUGGCACCUCGAUGUCGGCUCGUCACAUCCUGGGGCUGUAGCAGGUCCCAAGGGUUCGGCUGUUCGCCGAUUAAAGUGGCACGCGAGCUGGGUUCAGAACGUCGUGAGACAGUUCGG
Molecule: ribosomal RNA, 2652 nt
Filed under: Clostridiales bacterium
Lineage: Bacteria; Bacillati; Bacillota; Clostridia; Eubacteriales
Description: partial 23S ribosomal RNA
Rfam family: Bacterial large subunit ribosomal RNA
Source: RNAcentral